CCUGAGCCGUGGGCUUUCGGAGCUAACGCGUUUAAGUAGACCGCCUGGGGGAGUACGGUCCACAAGAUUAAAACUCAAAUGAAUUGACGGGGGCCCGCACAAGCGGUGGAGCAUGUGGUUUUAUUCGAUGCAACGCGAAGAACCUUACCUACUCUUGACAUCCAAAGAACUUUCCAGAGAUGGAUUGGUGCCUUCGGGAACUCUGAGACAGGUGCUGCAUGGCUGUCGUCAGCUCGUGUUGUGAAAUGCUGGGUUAAGUCCCGCAACGAGCGCAACCCUUAUCCUUGUUUGCCAGCGAGUAAUGUCGGGAACUUCAGGGAGACUGCCGGUGAUAAACCGGAGGAAGGUGGGGACGACGUCAAGUCAUCAUGGCCCUUACGAGUAGGGCUACACACGUGCUACAAUGGCGCAUACAGAGGGCAGCCAACUUGCGAAAGUGAGCGAAUCCCAAAAAUUGCGUCGUAGUCCGGAUUGGAGUCUGCAACUCGACCCCAUGAAGUCGGAAUCGCUAGUAAUCGUGGAUCAGAAUGCCACGGUGAAUACGUUCCCGGGCCUUGUAUACCCCCCCCCCGUCAAAAAGGCUAUUGGGUGCAAGU
RNAcentral lists this ribosomal RNA (596 nucleotides) under Vibrio natriegens. Its description in RNAcentral is "bacterial SSU rRNA". It matches the Rfam family "Bacterial small subunit ribosomal RNA", at positions 831 to 1427 of the family's 1533-position model. The record is from RNAcentral. Lineage: Bacteria; Pseudomonadati; Pseudomonadota; Gammaproteobacteria; Vibrionales; Vibrionaceae.